UUGGCUAUGCACAGAGCGUGAAGGAUUCAAACGCUCCCAUUUCAGGCAGAUUGGCCAACGAAAGCAGCAGCGGAGGUUGGUGGAGAUUGGGGAGAUAUGUCUGGAAGAGGCAGGGGUAGAGGAAGCCUGGAAAGAACACAGGAUGUAUGAAAACGACAGCUUUGAGGCUGCUCCACCUCUGCAAGUUUAGCCAAGGGUGAUUGCAAUUGGCUGAUGAUCGCCAGGGCAGACCUCUUCCUGGAAUCAGUUCAGCUCUUAGAACCCCCCAUGGGUGGCUGAUGGACAAAGCAAUAAAGCUGACUGCAUCCUGCUCCUUCCCAUGCCGUGGGGCCCUUUGCUGCUGGGGACCUGAAAGUAUUACAAAGCUCCCUGUGGAAGAGGUAGAGUCAGCAAUGGAAGCAGUUUGGGUCUGGACGUGGAAGCUGCCUGCCCACUCGGCACACCCACGUUGGACGAUUAGAUCAGCAAACAGCGGCUUAGAGUGUGAGUAAAUAUUUCCAAAGUACAACAGUCGGUGGUGAGCUUGUGAAGGAAUCGUGGCUUUCAAACUCUGAGACUAAUGCUUCUUCAGUUCACCAGGCUACGUCACCUGCUACCUGAGAGCAGUCAUUGUGGAAGCCUUCCCAUCUGCCUCUUGGUAAGGACUCUGAGGACCAAGACAAAGCUGUCCCCUGACCAAGGACAUUAUGUCACAUCUAGAAGGGAAGUCAACUGGGUCUUGAAUUAGGCUACCAGGACUGGAACUCCACCUCCGCUGCUCACCAGCCGUGUGACUCAGCACACAUUUAUGAGACUUUUUGUGUCUGUUUCCUAAUCCUUAAAAAAGGGGAUAACACUCAAGCCCAACUCACAGGGUUUUGUGAAUAUUAAAGGAAGUAGAAAAUGUUUGCUCAGUGCCAAAAACAAACAAACAAAAAAAAGUCAAUGUGUGUAUACGUUUUCUCACUCUAUUUGGAGCUAAUAUUAUAUUUAGUUACUAAUUUCUUUAGCGUAAAACCACCCAGAAUGAAACACGGAAGUUCUUAUGAAAGGCAAGAGUGAACACCUGUGAGCAUGAGUAUUCAUACACCAAAGAAGAGUUUUCAUACCAUACUUGUAACAUACCAAAGAAGACUGGAUAAUCCAAGAGAACAUCAAGAAAUGGCUCAUCAUAUUUGUUUUUCAAACAAAUGGAGAUUCAGAAUUAAGAAAUGAGACAAGAACAAAGAUGAAAAAUUAUACUCAACUGCUGUGAAGUCCAGUUCUCUAUUAGUAACUAGCUAUCCCAGAGUUAACCAAGGAGAAGGAACCAGACUAAGGCAACCCGUCUUUGCUACAGUUGAUUCCAUUACUCCCAUUGCCCCUAGCAUUUUUUUUUAAAGGGGAUUUUUUUAACAAGACUCAAUUCUAUUAAAAAUUGGGUGUCAUUUGGCCUUAAAAAUAAGCUAUGAAAUGCCCUCCCCCAAGCCAGAAAAAAAAUUAGCCAUCUCAUAAGAGUAUUCUUUUAAAAAGUUAAAUAAGUUUCUUACUGAUUAAUUUUUUAUGAACAUUUAAAAUUUUCCAUUAUGUAAAGG
RNAcentral lists this long non-coding RNA (1553 nucleotides) under Sus scrofa (pig). Its description in RNAcentral is "lncRNA (ENSSSCG00025071861.1)". The record is from RNAcentral. Lineage: Eukaryota; Metazoa; Chordata; Mammalia; Artiodactyla; Suidae.